This is an RNA transcript of Cucurbita moschata (crookneck pumpkin), 603 nucleotides long. RefSeq lists it as uncharacterized. NCBI's taxonomy places the organism in Eukaryota, Viridiplantae, Streptophyta, Magnoliopsida, Cucurbitales, Cucurbitaceae. The record is from RefSeq and is a predicted model, not a curated record. The transcript is spliced from 3 exons.
AUUAAAAUAAAAUUAUAUUUUAAUUAUUAAAUUAUAAAUUUAGUCAUGAGCUUUGUAGAGCGCAGUAUUAGAGGGAAAUGGGACGGUGGCUGAACCCUCUCCCGCGCGGACAGCUAGGAACUAGCGCCUGCUACUUCGUCGCCGGUUUCUCCUUAUUCGCCGUCGGAGCUUACCUCUCUUACGUCAAUAUCGGCCCUCAGCAAGCUCGAACUAAAGCUCGUAGCGAUUUUGUUCGGGAGCGGCUGAGAAGGCGUCACCACGAUUAAACUCGAUCGAUUUCUUCCGGGAGCGGCUGAGAAGGCGUCACCACGAUUAAACUCGAUCGAUUUCUUCCGCUCAAUAAAGAUUGCUCAAGCUCGGAGAACACAAGUACGAGCUUUGAUGAUGGAAUGAAAGGAACAAAAGUAUAGAGGUUGGUACUGAAGUUUCAGAGCGCUUAGACAUUAUGAAUUUCUGGGCACUACAACAUAACUAUAGCUUAUCUUCAGGUUAUAUUUAGUUGAUUCUGAUGGAUUUUGGUAAAACUUCUGAUAUUAGCAGUGAUGUUGUAAUGACCCAACUUUUUUAUACUCUAGUCGAGAUCAUUACCUACGAGAUAACAAA